Molecule: non-coding RNA, 785 nt
Filed under: Yunnantettix bannaensis
Lineage: Eukaryota; Metazoa; Arthropoda; Insecta; Orthoptera; Tetrigidae
Source: RNAcentral
UACAUUAAUUAUUUGAUUUAUAGUUUUUAUUGAUUUUUUUUAUUUUUUUUAUGAAAGUUUUAUUCUUGCUUUAUUUUAACUUUGUAAUACACUUUAUAUACAAUUUUUGUUAUUAGAUAUAAGAUGGUAGUAAUUAGAUUUGGAAAUUAAGUAAUUUUAGAUUCAGUGAUUUUUAUAGUAGGGGUUAAUGUCGUGCCAGCUACCGCGGUUAUACGUUGUUUACAAGGUUAAUUAUUUUGGUGGCAGGUAAUUUUUUGUGGAAUGGAGUUAUUUUAAUGUAUUGGUGGAAUAAUAAUUAUUUAUUUUAUUUUCCUUUCAGGUCCUGUAAUGACUAUAGUAUAAACUGGGAUUAGAUACCCCAUUAUUUUAGAUUUAAAUUAUUUCCAGGGUAGUAUUAAUUUAUUAUAUGAAAUCUAAAGAAUUUGGCGGCAUUUUAUCUUUUUAGGGGAACCUGUUCAUUAAAUGAUGAUACACGAUUAGCUUUACUGUACUCUUAUGGUUUGUAUACUUCCGUUAUCAGGGUAUUUAAUGAUAAUAUACUCUUGUUUUUAUAUAAAAAUGUAUUUCAGGUCAAGGUGCAGCUUAUGGUAUAGUUUGAAAUGGGUUACAAUAAUGGAAUUUAUAUGGAUUUUUUUUUUUAAUUUGAAAUUGAAGGUGGAUUUAUUAGUAAGUUUUUAUAAAUAUAGAUUCUGAAUUAGUUCUAAUUUGUGUACAUAUCGCCCGUCAUUCUCAUAUUUUGAGACAAGUCGUAACAUAGUAGAUUUACUGGAAAGUGAAUCUGGUUU